This 460-nucleotide ribosomal RNA is filed under the name uncultured bacterium. Its description in RNAcentral is "partial 16S ribosomal RNA". It matches the Rfam family "Bacterial small subunit ribosomal RNA", at positions 338 to 795 of the family's 1533-position model. The record is from RNAcentral.
CCUACGGGAGGCAGCAGUGAGGAAUAUUGGUCAAUGGGCGCGAGCCUGAACCAGCCAAGUAGCGUGAAGGAUGAAUGCCCUACGGGUUGUAAACUUCUUUUAUAAAGGAAUAAAGUGAGGCACGUGUGCCUCUUUGUAUGUACUUUACUAAUAAGGAUCGGCUAACUCCGUGCCAGCAGCCGCGGUAAUACGGAGGAUCCAAGCGUUAUCCGGAUUUAUUGGGUUUAAAGGGAGCGUAGAUGGGUUGUUAAGUCAGUUGUGAAAGGUUGCGGCUCAACCGUAAAAUGGCAAUUGAUACUGGCAGACUUGAGUACAGGUGAGGUAGGCGGAAUUCGUGGUGUAGCGGUGAAAUGCUUAGAUAUCACGAAGAACUCCGAUUGCGAAGGCAGCUUACUAAACUGCCACUGACAUUGAUGCUCGAAAGUGUGGGUAGCAAACAGGAUUAGAUACCCCAGUAGUC